AGUUGAUACAUAAUAAAAAGAAUAAAUAUAAAGAGACAAAGAGAGAAAAAAAGGAAUAAGAAAGGAAGAACAUAAAGGAAGAAGGAAGAGAGGGAGAGAGGAAGAAAGCAAUAGACGGAGGAAAGGAAAAGGUAGGAGGAAAAAAGACAAAGCUAGCAGGAAACCAAUAUAUAUAUAAUAAAUAUUAAUGUUAAGAAUAUAUUAAUUAAUGGAAGUGUUAAUGAUCUGUGAGUGGUCUGCCCAGAUGUGAUUCUUACUAUACUAUUACAUAGCCCAAAUUUUCUUAAUUGGACAUACAUUUUCUGUAGCCAGAAAAUUAAAAUAUUAAUUUCAGAAAAAAAUUGUUAUUUCUAUCCUCUAAAUGCAUGCCCCAAUGAAUAAUAGUCAAAUAUUAAAAUUACACACACAAAAGUUGUGAAAUAGAAGACUAUAUAUAUUUUUUCAUUAACAUAAACAGAAAAAUUCCUACUAGCUCUUCACAUCAGGAUUUGUAUGACCCAUUAACGUGUUCAAAUGCAACAUUGCUCAUUAAAGGAAGAGUUCUUACAACUCAAUUCAAGGCAAUAAGGCCCCAGCAACUGACCUCACAGGAAUAGUCCCUUGCUUCCUAGCUUGGCAGCACCCCACACUGUUGGUCUUGCAACAG
This 646-nucleotide long non-coding RNA is filed under the name Homo sapiens (human). RNAcentral describes it as "HSALNT0313268". The record is from RNAcentral. Lineage: Eukaryota; Metazoa; Chordata; Mammalia; Primates; Hominidae.